AUUGUUCUACGUUGCUCUCUAU
RNAcentral lists this non-coding RNA (22 nucleotides) under Arabidopsis thaliana (thale cress). Lineage: Eukaryota; Viridiplantae; Streptophyta; Magnoliopsida; Brassicales; Brassicaceae. The record is from RNAcentral.